This 497-nucleotide ribosomal RNA is filed under the name uncultured bacterium. RNAcentral's name for it is "partial 16S ribosomal RNA". It matches the Rfam family "Bacterial small subunit ribosomal RNA", at positions 28 to 507 of the family's 1533-position model. The record is from RNAcentral.
GAUGAACGCUGGCGGCGUGCCUAAUACAUGCAAGUCGAGCGAACAGACGAGGAGCUUGCUCCUCUGACGUUAGCGGCGGACGGGUGAGUAACACGUGGAUAACCUACCUAUAAGACUGGGAUAACUUCGGGAAACCGGAGCUAAUACCGGAUAAUAUAUUGAACCGCAUGGUUCAAUAGUGAAAGACGGUUUUGCUGUCACUUAUAGAUGGAUCCGCGCCGCAUUAGCUAGUUGGUAAGGUAACGGCUUACCAAGGCAACGAUGCGUAGCCGACCUGAGAGGGUGAUCGGCCACACUGGAACUGAGACACGGUCCAGACUCCUACGGGAGGCAGCAGUAGGGAAUCUUCCGCAAUGGGCGAAAGCUUGACGGAGCAACGCCGCGUGAGUGAUGAAGGUCUUCGGAUCGUAAAGCUCGGUUAUUAGGGAAGAACAAAUGUGUAAGUAACUAUGCACGUCUUGACGGUACCUAAUCAGAAAGCCACGGCUAACUACGUG